This 77-nucleotide transfer RNA is filed under the name Corynebacterium propinquum. Its description in RNAcentral is "tRNA-Ile(gat)". It matches the Rfam family "tRNA". From Rfam's summary of the family: Transfer RNA (tRNA) molecules are approximately 80 nucleotides in length. Their secondary structure includes four short double-helical elements and three loops (D, anti-codon, and T loops). Further hydrogen bonds mediate the characteristic L-shaped molecular structure. tRNAs have two regions of fundamental functional importance: the anti-codon, which is responsible for specific mRNA codon recognition, and the 3' end, to which the tRNAs corresponding amino acid is attached (by aminoacyl-tRNA synthetases). tRNAs cope with the degeneracy of the genetic code in two manners: having more than one tRNA (with a specific anti-codon) for a particular amino acid; and 'wobble' base-pairing, i.e. permitting non-standard base-pairing at the 3rd anti-codon position. The record is from RNAcentral. RNAcentral also lists the same sequence under 2 other names. Lineage: Bacteria; Bacillati; Actinomycetota; Actinomycetes; Mycobacteriales; Corynebacteriaceae.
GGGUCUAUAGCUCAGUCGGUUAGAGCGCAUCGCUGAUAACGAUGAGGUCGCAGGUUCGAUUCCUGCUAGACCCACCA